CCUACGGGAGGCAGCAGUAGGGAAUUUUGCGCAAUGGGCGAAAGCCUGACGCAGCAACGCCGCGUGAUCGAGACGCCCUUCGGGGUGUAACGAUCUGUCAGUGGGGACGAAAAUUGACGGUACCCACAGAGGAAGCCCCGGCUAAAUCCGUGCCAGCAGCCGCGGUAAUCCGUGGGGUGCAGGCGUUGUCCGGCAUCAUUGGGGAGAAAGAGUUCGUAGGCGGUACGUAAAGUCUGGUGUUAAAGGCAGAGGCUCAACUUCUGUACGGCACUGGAUACUGGCGAGCUAGAAUGCGGUAGAGGUAAAGGGAAUUCCUGGUGUAGCGGUGAAAUGCUUAGAUAGCAGGAGGAACAUCAGUGGCGUAAGCGCUUUACUGGGCCGUAAUUGACGCUGAGGAACGAAAGCCAGGGUAGCAAAUGGGAUUAGAUACCCGUGUAGUC
Molecule: ribosomal RNA, 440 nt
Filed under: uncultured bacterium
Lineage: Bacteria
Description: partial 16S ribosomal RNA
Rfam family: Bacterial small subunit ribosomal RNA
Source: RNAcentral